GGUUAAGCGACUAAGCGUACACGGUGGAUGCCCUGGCAGUCAGAGGCGAUGAAGGACGUGCUAAUCUGCGAUAAGCGUCGGUAAGGUGAUAUGAACCGUUAUAACCGGCGAUUUCCGAAUGGGGAAACCCAGUGUGUUUCGACACACUAUCAUUAACUGAAUCCAUAGGUUAAUGAGGCGAACCGGGGGAACUGAAACAUCUAAGUACCCCGAGGAAAAGAAAUCAACCGAGAUUCCCCCAGUAGCGGCGAGCGAACGGGGAGGAGCCCAGAGCCUGAAUCAGUGUGUGUGUUAGUGGAAGCGUCUGGAAAGGCGCGCGAUACAGGGUGACAGCCCCGUACACAAAAAUGCACAUGCUGUGAGCUCGAUGAGUAGGGCGGGACACGUGGUAUCCUGUCUGAAUAUGGGGGGACCAUCCUCCAAGGCUAAAUACUCCUGACUGACCGAUAGUGAACCAGUACCGUGAGGGAAAGGCGAAAAGAACCCCGGCGAGGGGAGUGAAAAAGAACCUGAAACCGUGUACGUACAAGCAGUGGGAGCCUCUUUAUGGGGUGACUGCGUACCUUUUGUAUAAUGGGUCAGCGACUUAUAUUCUGUAGCAAGGUUAACCGAAUAGGGGAGCCGAAGGGAAACCGAGUCUUAACUGGGCGUUAAGUUGCAGGGUAUAGACCCGAAACCCGGUGAUCUAGCCAUGGGCAGGUUGAAGGUUGGGUAACACUAACUGGAGGACCGAACCGACUAAUGUUGAAAAAUUAGCGGAUGACUUGUGGCUGGGGGUGAAAGGCCAAUCAAACCGGGAGAUAGCUGGUUCUCCCCGAAAGCUAUUUAGGUAGCGCCUCGUGAAUUCAUCUCCGGGGGUAGAGCACUGUUUCGGCAAGGGGGUCAUCCCGACUUACCAACCCGAUGCAAACUGCGAAUACCGGAGAAUGUUAUCACGGGAGACACACGGCGGGUGCUAACGUCCGUCGUGAAGAGGGAAACAACCCAGACCGCCAGCUAAGGUCCCAAAGUCAUGGUUAAGUGGGAAACGAUGUGGGAAGGCCCAGACAGCCAGGAUGUUGGCUUAGAAGCAGCCAUCAUUUAAAGAAAGCGUAAUAGCUCACUGGUCGAGUCGGCCUGCGCGGAAGAUGUAACGGGGCUAAACCAUGCACCGAAGCUGCGGCAGCGACACUAUGUGUUGUUGGGUAGGGGAGCGUUCUGUAAGCCUGUGAAGGUGGCCUGUGAGGGUUGCUGGAGGUAUCAGAAGUGCGAAUGCUGACAUAAGUAACGAUAAAGCGGGUGAAAAGCCCGCUCGCCGGAAGACCAAGGGUUCCUGUCCAACGUUAAUCGGGGCAGGGUGAGUCGACCCCUAAGGCGAGGCCGAAAGGCGUAGUCGAUGGGAAACAGGUUAAUAUUCCUGUACUUGGUGUUACUGCGAAGGGGGGACGGAGAAGGCUAUGUUGGCCGGGCGACGGUUGUCCCGGUUUAAGCGUGUAGGCUGGUUUUCCAGGCAAAUCCGGAAAAUCAAGGCUGAGGCGUGAUGACGAGGCACUACGGUGCUGAAGCAACAAAUGCCCUGCUUCCAGGAAAAGCCUCUAAGCAUCAGGUAACAUCAAAUCGUACCCCAAACCGACACAGGUGGUCAGGUAGAGAAUACCAAGGCGCUUGAGAGAACUCGGGUGAAGGAACUAGGCAAAAUGGUGCCGUAACUUCGGGAGAAGGCACGCUGAUAUGUAGGUGAAGUCCCUCGCGGAUGGAGCUGAAAUCAGUCGAAGAUACCAGCUGGCUGCAACUGUUUAUUAAAAACACAGCACUGUGCAAACACGAAAGUGGACGUAUACGGUGUGACGCCUGCCCGGUGCCGGAAGGUUAAUUGAUGGGGUCAGCGCAAGCGAAGCUCUUGAUCGAAGCCCCGGUAAACGGCGGCCGUAACUAUAACGGUCCUAAGGUAGCGAAAUUCCUUGUCGGGUAAGUUCCGACCUGCACGAAUGGCGUAAUGAUGGCCAGGCUGUCUCCACCCGAGACUCAGUGAAAUUGAACUCGCUGUGAAGAUGCAGUGUACCCGCGGCAAGACGGAAAGACCCCGUGAACCUUUACUAUAGCUUGACACUGAACAUUGAGCCUUGAUGUGUAGGAUAGGUGGGAGGCUUUGAAGUGUGGACGCCAGUCUGCAUGGAGCCGACCUUGAAAUACCACCCUUUAAUGUUUGAUGUUCUAACGUUGGCCCCUGAUCGGGGUUGCGGACAGUGUCUGGUGGGUAGUUUGACUGGGGCGGUCUCCUCCUAAAGAGUAACGGAGGAGCACGAAGGUUGGCUAAUCCUGGUCGGACAUCAGGAGGUUAGUGCAAUGGCAUAAGCCAGCUUGACUGCGAGCGUGACGGCGCGAGCAGGUGCGAAAGCAGGUCAUAGUGAUCCGGUGGUUCUGAAUGGAAGGGCCAUCGCUCAACGGAUAAAAGGUACUCCGGGGAUAACAGGCUGAUACCGCCCAAGAGUUCAUAUCGACGGCGGUGUUUGGCACCUCGAUGUCGGCUCAUCACAUCCUGGGGCUGAAGUAGGUCCCAAGGGUAUGGCUGUUCGCCAUUUAAAGUGGUACGCGAGCUGGGUUUAGAACGUCGUGAGACAGUUCGGUCCCUAUCUGCCGUGGGCGCUGGAGAACUGAGGGGGGCUGCUCCUAGUACGAGAGGACCGGAGUGGACGCAUCACUGGUGUUCGGGUUGUCAUGCCAAUGGCACUGCCCGGUAGCUAAAUGCGGAAGAGAUAAGUGCUGAAAGCAUCUAAGCACGAAACUUGCCCCGAGAUGAGUUCUCCCUGACUCCUUGAGAGUCCUGAAGGAACGUUGAAGACGACGACGUUGAUAGGCCGGGUGUGUAAGCGCAGCGAUGCGUUGAGCUAACCGGUACUAAUGAACCGUGAGGCUUAACCUU
Molecule: ribosomal RNA, 2902 nt
Filed under: Escherichia coli
Lineage: Bacteria; Pseudomonadati; Pseudomonadota; Gammaproteobacteria; Enterobacterales; Enterobacteriaceae
Description: 23S ribosomal RNA
Rfam family: Bacterial large subunit ribosomal RNA
Source: RNAcentral